This 234-nucleotide long non-coding RNA is filed under the name Elaeis guineensis (African oil palm). RNAcentral's name for it is "long non-coding RNA (EGUI_LNC052449)". Lineage: Eukaryota; Viridiplantae; Streptophyta; Magnoliopsida; Arecales; Arecaceae. The record is from RNAcentral.
ACUGUCGGACGAUCCUCUAUCGGAUUCCUCAUGAAAUUGGACCUCUCCGACGGGCAAUCUACAGACGAGCUUCUACAUCAGGCAAAUUCCAGAUGGACUCUCCUAGCAACUGGACUCUUACCGGACUUCUGCAAUAGAAAGUCUCCAUCUGAGCUUCUACAGUGGAUGAUUUUCACCUGCAACAUCAGUGCCCAAUCAGUGCCUAAGGCACCCGACAAUAGUGGAUUCGUCGGC